Molecule: long non-coding RNA, 264 nt
Filed under: Eurytemora carolleeae
Lineage: Eukaryota; Metazoa; Arthropoda; Copepoda; Calanoida; Temoridae
Description: uncharacterized LOC111717760
Source: RNAcentral
GCAUUUAAAACAUGUGGGAACUAUCCACAUGUGAACAUUCAUUCACUCAUUAUCAAACAGAACAGUGAACUGCUUAGUUAGUUAAAUAUGUUUUAAAAUUAUUUGUUUUUGAUUAUAACCUACAAUAUUUCAGAAUUAUGUAAGCCAUCAUUCACACUGGACUACAUGUCCAGAAACCUCUACUUUUAUGGCUUUUUUCGGCUAAUGUUUUAACUUUUCUACAUCGAUGUUAAAAUUUACUGAAUAAAGUCCUGUGCUAAAGUG